Molecule: ribosomal RNA, 233 nt
Filed under: uncultured bacterium
Lineage: Bacteria
Description: partial 16S ribosomal RNA
Rfam family: Bacterial small subunit ribosomal RNA
Source: RNAcentral
ACGGGUGAGUAACACGUAUCCAACCUGCCGUCUACUCUUGGCCAGCCUUCUGAAGGAAGAUUAAUCCAGGAUGGCAUCAUGAGUUCACAUGUCCGCAUGAUUAAAGGUAUUUUCCGGUAGACGAUGGGGAUGCGUUCCAUUAGAUAGUAGGCGGGGUAACGGCACACCUAGUCAACGAUGGAUAGGGGUUCUGAGAGGAAGGUCCCCCACAUUGGAACUGAGACACGGUCCAA